This is a long non-coding RNA of Camelus dromedarius (Arabian camel), 6963 nucleotides long. RefSeq lists it as uncharacterized. The transcript has 4 exons. The record is from RefSeq and is a predicted model, not a curated record. NCBI's taxonomy places the organism in Eukaryota, Metazoa, Chordata, Mammalia, Artiodactyla, Camelidae.
GUGCUGGCUCCUUAACAGACCAGCUGAGGACUGGGCCUGCUUCUUUCUCCUUCCCUCGUCACCACAACCCUCUGAGGGGCCCUGAACUUCCCACCCCACCCCCAGCAUCUUCGGGGUGGGAGCCAGGCGGUUGCCGGGACAACGCCCAUUCUUCCAGCCUUGCCUGUCUGAAUCCAAAAGAGUGGGACACUGGUCACCUGAAACUACUCCCUCCACCCAGAUGUGGCACGGGGCUGGGGAGAGGGCCAGGCUGGGGUCCUGCUGUGCUGAGGGGGCCAUGGGGUGAGUGAAAGAAUGGGCACAGACAGGAUCAGAGAGUCAGCUCCACAUUCAGUCCUGCAGUGUAAGGGCCGAGUGACCUUGGACAAGUUACUAAACCUGUCUGUCCCCGCUUCCCCUGUCAUGCAGGAACCAGGGUACCUAGCCUACAGGUUUGCUGUGACGAGUUGAUGAGGUGCCAGAGGUUGGUCCCCAGCACACAAUUCUUGAUCCCCAGCCUGUAACCGGCAGCAGCAGCCUGUCAUCGCCCCUGGAACCCCAUUCUUGACCUGUCUGUACAAGGAGGCAAGCACCCAGAGGUGAAACGACCUUCUCCAUCACCUGGCACCAGCACCCAGCACAGGGUGUGGCCUGGAGCCCCUUAUCUCUGGGCUCAGAAUACCUGUCCCCUCUUCCCUUACUGGGCUCAGCUAAAUUGUCACUUCCUUCAGGAAGCCUGCCCUGACUGCCAGGGCAGACCCAGUCCCUCCCUGUCUUCCCUGAGCAUCUUGGCUACAUGGAACCACAUGGCAGCUGGACCCACCUCAGCCCUGCCUCUAUAGUCACUUCCCCCGGCUUCCAGGCCAAGCCCCAGUCCCCUGUGCCUGGAAACAGGCUGAUGCCCAGCCCUCACACCCUCAUUCCAAGGCUGCAGUGUUGGGAGUAAAGGACAGCUGGGACUGUCCCAGGGCCCAGAAGAGUCAGGGGCCAUUGCUCUGCCAGCAGGGCCAAGUCUGGCAGGUGACCCUCAUUUAUUUCUGGAAAGGUUCCCCCUGCCAGGGUCCUCCACCUGAACUGUGCAGUGUCCUGCUGCCAGUGCUGGGAUGGCUACCAACCCCCUCCACUCUGGGACCAGAGAGCCCAGGGGGGCUCUCUCGCCCUCUCCUACUAGGGAUGAGAGCAGCUCCGGGAAAAGGGGGCUGGGAGAACCCAAGCAGCCAGGUCUGGAAACAUCCACUCUGUGUGUCCUAGGCCAACACCCUUAACUUCUCUGAGCUACAGUUUCCUCAUCUGUAAAAUGGGGAUGAUGGCACCUAUCCCAUGGUGUUACUGUAGAAAAAAUUACUUGUCCUUUCUUUUUGCUUGGCAGGUAGAGACAAGACGAAGGCCUGGAUCUUGAGAAUGUGCAUACGAUGAUUCUCCACGAGCAUCUUGGCUCUUCACAAAUCUGUUAACAAAUCAUGGGAGCAGCCGCAUGAGUCUUGGUGAAGUACGGGCUUCAGUCUUCAUCGGUGAGUGUCUUUCUGAUUUUGGUACAGGGUGAUGAUGACUUCACAGAAUGACUUUGGGAGUGUUCCCUCCUCUUCAGUCUUUUGGAAGAGUUUGAGAAGGGUCAAAUGGCAGCUGAUGGUCUGCAGCUGGUGCUCAUCUGUGAACAAACCCGCCCAAAGGCCCCGCUCCCAGGAGAUGCCCACAGGACCAGCACCACAUUAUGGAAAGCAACCUGCUUUGGAGCCCCAGUCCUGAACCAGCCCAGCAGCACCGUGCAGGUGGCUGGCAGCCUGGGAAGUCACAGGUUUUGGCCCCAGCACCAACAGUGAACACUGGGCGAGCAAGGGACCAGCCCAGAAACGCUCAGUAUGAGGAGGACUGUGGCAGGAGCCAGCCUCUCCAGAACCCUGGCUGCUGAGGAUGGACACAGGAGGGACCCCGUGACUCAGAAGGUGGGAAAAAUGAACAAAUGGCUGGCAGUGUUCUUGGGAACAAUCCCUACCUCUGAGUUCAGGGGGCAAAUGGGCUAGAUCAUUACCAGCUGGAAGGUCAAUGGCGAAGGAUAGUGGGGGCUGGUGGGGCUGGCCAUCCUUCAAGUUGAGAUGAGCCCGGCCCUAGAGGGAUGUGCAGUGAGAACCCUGGGGCCCCUCUGUGGUCCCCAGCUCCUAUCUGCUUCUGGUCUUGGGGGGGCGGGCCACAUUCCAGGGCUGGUGUAGUCCUGGCGGAGGAUGGGGUCAUUGGUGCCUCUCAGGCUAGGCUCCGAAGGGAGGUGACAGGGUGGCUCCAGGAUAUCUCCUUGUUUAACAGCAUGUGUCACCCAGGAGCCCCCCACCCAUCUGUGUCUGCACCCGGGCACAGCAUCCUGGAGCAUGGCUGGUCUGACCGGGAGGUGGCAAGGUCACUGGGGACAAAGCUCGACUCUGGAGAGGGUCCAUUUAACCCUGGGGUCGGGGUGUCAUUUGCUAAUGACGCCUUGUGGGCAUCGCUGAGGUCACCCAAAGGUUCCCUCCCUCCAACAACAUGUCAAUUUUCUCCUCCGCACCUUCUGCCCUCAGUCCCAGUGCACACGUUCCCAGAGGCCUGGGACACCCCCUGUGGGGUGACAUCAUAACACUGAGAGGGAAGCUGUGGCCAAAGGCCAGGCCAUCAGUGUUGCCACCACCCCCUCGCCAAACUCAGGCCCCCCCCCACCCCCACCCAGCCAGGACUUGCUGCAACAGGUGACCCCAAGGCUCUACAAAUGUCCUCUCCAAGGCCAGGGGUGUCCUGGCAUCCAUCCUCACCCCUCUGGAAGGUCCUUGCCCCUGCAAACCCCUGCCAAGCAGGAAAGGCCUCGGCUAGACACACGGGCACUGGUGACGGUUUCUCUUUCUGAAGAUCAGAGCAGCCCCCGAGGCCGCUACUCCCAGAGCUGGUGGGGCCGGGCGGGGCGUCCUGCUGUGGCAGGCAGGGUCAGGGCCACCAUGUGACAAUGAGGGCUGCAGCCGUGGGGCAGGGAGAAACGCGUAGAGUCUGUGGAGGAAUGAGAGGGAGAAGAUAUGAAUCACACCCACCUUGUUCCAUCCUAACCUGGAACCAGAUGAAGAGCCAGAGGCCACGUGGAAGGCCCAGGUGUGAGGGCGCAGCUCUCGCUCAGCUGCAGUGCAGCCACUCAUCGGUCCUUCAGCCCUGAGCACCCUCCACCUGGCGGGCACCGGGCCAGGGAAACAGGAGGACAGACACAGCUACCAUCCCCAAGGAUCGUCCUCCAGUGGGAGAAACUACAGGUUUGUACAAAAGUAUACACAGCCAUCGUACACUGACCGUGCCAGCUGUGAGAAAUAAGAAACUAAGAGAUUAGAACCAGGACUUUAACUGGGGUGGACGGUGUAGGAAGGUGGUGAAAUUUAACCUGAGACCUGAAGGACAGACAGGAGUCUGCUAGAGGAGCCAAUAGCAGUCUGGGCAGAAGGAAUGGCAUGUGCAAAGGCCCCAGGGUGGGAAUCUGGCACUUUUGAGAAACUAAAUGUAGGCCAGAGAGAUAGAAACAAUGAGGGGCAGAAAAGAUCCGAGAGCCAGGGGACAGCCAGCCCAUUCACUCCUGCACUUGACAUGUUUACCACACGGCCCUGCGGAACGGAUGCAGUGGUAAACGAGGCAGGACAGUCCCUGUGGUCAUGACACUCACACUCAGAACUGGGUUCUCGAUCACUCUGGGGCCCGCUCUGAGCUUCGUGUUUCCCCGUGCAAUGAGGACACCUGCCUCCCAGGGAAGGAUGGAGUCAUCUAAUGCACGUGGAAGGCUUGAUGUAGACCCUGGAAGCAACUAAGGAAACCCAGGUGGGCACAAGGGUUUCCUUGUGACCAUUUCUACAGCCUAACUCACAGCAACAGCUUGGCACAACCCUAGCCCGACGCCAAGCAGGGAUGUGUCCAGAAGUGGUGCCCUUGGCCGGAGAAGCAGGUCCAGGAAGGACCCAGAGGGGUGUGGCGGAGGAAUGCUCAGGACAGCGAGGGAGGGGCUGGGAGUUCCCACGAAGGGUCUUCCAUGCUGUCCCCCAACCCCAUUUCCAUGCUGGUGGCUCACUUCCACUGGCCAGCGUUCAGUGCCACGGGCUCAGAGGUGGCCCCAACGAAGGAGGCAGGCUUGGGCCAUGGGACAGUUCCCUACGUGCUGAGCUGCCCCGGGGUGGGGGGGUCUCACCCCAGCUUCGAAAGGGAAGAGAGAAGAAGCCCCCCACCACAGGCGUCUCCAGCCCUCCAGGAGGCGGGGACAACCCCACCUUUGCAAACAUCAGGUAACAGUGACUGCACGCUUGGUCUUCAGCCUGGGGUGUAGCCACCAGUCCACCUGUGUGGCCUGGGUGGGGUGACCGCUGUGUCCUCAGUGGGGCUGAGGAAGGCCCCCCAAACCCCUCCAAGCUCCUCCCAAGCUAGAAACUAGGUCCCAAACAUGCCAAGAUGGUCUAAGUGGGUGAACCCCAAGCUCAGGGACCCAGGCCCCUCCACUCCUCCCCAGUGCUGGGGAGGAGGGGCUCUGGGUGACCCCUGGGCUGUCCCAAGGAGGAAGUGGUAGCACCCUACGGGCAUGCUGAAGGCAGAGGAGCUGGGAGCCGCCCGGCUCCCGGACUCCUCCCGGAUCACUCAGGCACUUCCCCGGGCCUUCCUGGGUUGGACCAUCCAAAUUUUUGGCAGAUACUUCUUGGAGAACUAAUUUCCUCAUCUCUGCAGAGCGGAUGUGGGGUCAGGGGUCACCCACACCACCUGUGUGCAGCAGGCCCCAGUGAACCCUGUUACUUACUAUGGGUGUGUGAUCCCAACAGUGGGGCAUGGAGCCUUCCAGAAGGAGGGGCUGGCCGGGGACAUCCAGAGGGCCCUGCCACCCAAAGCAUCCCAAAACCAUUAUCACCGCCAUCCCCCACCCCGAUCACAACCUCGUACAAAGGCUGACUCUGACCCCAGCCCCCUUUCUACUCACCUAGUUUAAGCGAUACAAUUUUUAUGCCCAUGUUCCUGAGGGGAAAGCUGAGGCUCAGGGAAGUUAAGCAACCAGGGUCAAGCAGCCAGCAAGAGUCAGAGCCAACAGUCAAGCGGGCUUCCCUUCCUAAGCCCCCGGCAAAGUAAAGGGUGCACUGGGUCCUAAUGCCUGACCUGCCCCCCACCCCUCCCACUUGGGGAAGAACUGCCCUCCAGGGCCCUGGGGUUGGGCAAACACUGGACAGGGGCAGAGCUGCCCAGGUGAUUGUAGGAACAGGGACUCAAGGAAAUGCAAAUGUUCCCUUUGAAACGCACUCCCUAGGAGACCAAGACAUGUGGCUGGUUAGACUUUUCUCCCAAAGAGGGAGAGAGCAGGUUAAAACAAAACAGAGAAACCUUAAAAGAGAACACAGCCCCAUUCCCCUCCAGGCUGGCCUGAUGAGGCCAAACACCCCGUGUGCAGGGAUUUGAUGCCUUCUCUGGGCCUGCCUCACCUGCCGCGGGCGUAUCCCUUUAAGGGCCUCGAAGGCCCGGCUGGAUCUGAUUUAAUAGCUGAAACAUCAGAUUGCAUUCAGAAGCAAUCCUGGCUAAGUAUGAGUGCUCAGCCAUUCGAGUCAGCAGCCGCCGGGUCAUUAAGGAAAUGAAAUUUUUCAGCUCAGGCCAGCUCCUGACGGGGCUCCUGUGAGCUGUAACCGCACAGGGCCCAGGAAGGGCUCCUCAGAGCCCCCGGGACCCCACGCCUCCUGUCCCCCAUCCACCUAGGGUCCCUCGACCUCACAGCCCCAAGGGCUGGGAGCUGGGACCUGACCAUGGAGGACCUCCUCUGGUGCUUCUAUCACCCCAUUCCAGCCCCUGCCCCCAAGCCCCUGGCAGGCUGGCUCGGGAGACCUUAAUCCAACCUCAGGACUUGCCGCAGAUCCCGCCCCAGAAGGGCUGCAGGAGAAAUCCUGCCCUCCCCUCGGAAGAGGCCCUCCAGGACAGGCUUGGUCCUUCCUUCUGCCCUCUCUCCCCUUCCUGACUGCCCCCUCGGUCCAAGGACCUGGGCAAGUCCAUCCUCCUGUCUCCCUGUCCAUCACAGAGAACACCUGCCUGUGUCCCUGUGCUCCCAGCAUCCUCUGUCACCUUCCCUUUCUGUGUAAUGAUCUCCAGUAACGAUGGCGCCAAGAACAGAGAGCACCCUACCUCGGGGUAACCGAGGCAGCCCUGCAGCAACCCCGCUGGAGGCUGGGAGGUUGGGGGCUGUCCCUUACCUAAUCAUGACGCCUGCUUCGAGGAAGACCUCUCCAGUUUGUGGAGGGACAGGGGACAAGAGGCUCCCUUGCACACCGGCGAACACACAGCUGCCCCGAGGAGAGGCAGGACCCAGCCCCAGGGCUAGCUGGUCCCAGAGCCCCGGUCCCACCAGCUGUCCCCAGCGGUGCCCGCCCACCUGGGCCAGCACCUGCCUCCCUGCGAGCGCUCGGUCCACUCCCCUCACAGGCCCCCGGCAUGGGGCUCUCACCUUGGCUGCACCCUGGACUCACCUGGAGCUACACGGCUACAAGGCCUGGGCUCAGAGACCCUGACUCAGGUGGUCUGGGCUUAGAACUUGCAGAGCACAGACUCUGGCCUGGCCCAGAAAGAGAGCUGGCCUUGGCCCUUGGCUUCUGGGAGGUGACCUGGAUCACAUCUGAUAGACAGGAGUGUCUGUUUAGGGUCAGGGUGGCCACAUCCGUGUGACUUCAGGUGGGAGCCUUGGGUCACACUGGACCAGGUGAUGUGAGAGUUACCACAAUCAAUCCAUCAUGCCUAUGUGAUGGGGCCGCGAUAAAAACUCUGGACCCCAAAGCCUGUGUGAGCUUCCCUGCUGGGCAAUCUUCUGUGUGUACUGUCACUCAAUAAAGCUGGCAGAGAGACACUGUCCUGGCUCCAUGGGGAGCACACAAGGGAUGCUUUGCAUUUGUACCCCCAGCCAAGGCUCUGUUCCCCGCACCUCUGCCCUUGGCUGAUCUGAUUCUGUAUCCUUGCCCCAUAAUAAACCAUAACCAUGAAUAUACA